This 251-nucleotide ribosomal RNA is filed under the name uncultured prokaryote. RNAcentral's name for it is "partial 16S ribosomal RNA". It matches the Rfam family "Bacterial small subunit ribosomal RNA", at positions 525 to 775 of the family's 1533-position model. The record is from RNAcentral.
ACGUAAGGUGCGAGCGUUAAUCGGAAUUACUGGGCGUAAAGCGUGCGUAGGCGGCUCUAUAAGACAGAUGUGAAAUCCCCGGGCUUAACCUGGGAACUGCGUUUGAAACUGUAGGGCUAGAGUGCGGCAGAGGGAGGUGGAAUUCCAGGUGUAGCGGCGAAAUGCGUAGAGAUCGGGAGGAACACCGAUGGCGAAGGCAGCCUCCUGGACUGACAUUGACGCUGAUGUGCGAAAGCGUGGGGAGCAAACAG